RNAcentral lists this small RNA (74 nucleotides) under Ligilactobacillus salivarius. The record is from RNAcentral. Lineage: Bacteria; Bacillati; Bacillota; Bacilli; Lactobacillales; Lactobacillaceae.
CAUCUGCAACCGCACGUUUUAAGUUUAAGUAUCUCUCUUUAGAGGUCACUACAUUACGGCGAGUCUAAGUAUUU